This 482-nucleotide ribosomal RNA is filed under the name uncultured bacterium. Its description in RNAcentral is "bacterial SSU rRNA". It matches the Rfam family "Bacterial small subunit ribosomal RNA", at positions 335 to 800 of the family's 1533-position model. The record is from RNAcentral.
ACUCCGUACGGGAGGCAGCAGGUAGGGAAUUUUCCGCAAUGGACGGAAAAGUCUGACGGAGCAAUGCCGCGUGAGUGAUGAAGGUUUCGAAUCGUAAAGCUCUGUUGUAAGGGAAGAAUAGCAAGGAUAGGAAUGAUCCUUGUCUGACGGUACCUUACCAGAAAGCCACGGCUAACUACGUGCCAGCAGCCGCGGUAAUACGGUAGGUGGCAAGCGUUAUCCGGAAUUAUUGGGGCGUAAAGCGCAUGUAGGCGGCUUUUUAAGUCUGGUGUGAAAGCCUGUGGGCUCAACCACAGAAUUGCAUUGGAUACUGGAAAGCUAGAAUCUUGGGAGAGGUAAGUGGAAUUUCAUGUGUAGCGGUGGAAUGCGUAGAUAUAUGAAGGAACACCAAUGGCGAAGGCAGCUUACUGGACAAACGCAAUUGACGCUGAGAUGCGAAAGUGUGGUAGCGAAACAGGAUUAGAUACCCUGGUAGGUCAGUC